GGGGAAGGCAACCCACCCAGCCUGCUGGCCCAGCAGCCCUGGGGAGCUGGGCGUACACAGGUUGCACAAGGCUCCCGGGGCCGAGGAGGAAUCCCCCUGGCUCUCCAUGGCUGGAAAAGCCCAUGGAGGUGUUGGGGCAAGAUAAAACCCGCACCCAGCAUCCGCCACCACCAGUAAUACCAGCUUACCGCGCCACGGCGGCGGCCGGGGGCUUGCACUGGAGCGUGCCUGGGGGGAUUGGAGGUGUCUGCUCGACGCAGCGCUGUGGGGAGAGCCCUGGGCAGAGCCUGCAUUUUGGUGCCAUGGUUUGCUGAGCACCAGCAAACUUGAUACUCUCAGGCUUCGUAAGUACUGACUCAGGCACGUCACCUCCGGGAGAGUCACCUCCUGCCCGUGGCUGGCCUGCGGACCCACCACCUCCUGGAGGUGCCUGUGGCGGGACCCUCGGGGGACUCUGACAGCGUUGCAGGUUCCGCAGCGGAACAGCCGUGAGCCUGCCCUGUGCUUCCACAGAGCUGUGUCCUGCCAGGCGGGCAGUGGCUGGGGUCAGCAUGUCUCUGGGGAAGGAAGUGGCUUCCCCCGGCCCUGCAUCUGAAUUCCCCCGUCAGAAUGCUCUUGAGCUGAGGCUGUUGUCUUCAGACCCUGUGCCACAUUGGGGCUUGUGACCCCAUCCUGCCUGCUGCCGCACCCCAGCCCGAGGUGAGCGGGCACUGCUGAGGCACGAAUGGCUCCCUGCAAACUAGCAGGUGAAUGAAAAUACCUGUGUAGUGCGAGCUCGCUAAUAGCCAAUUCUCAAUGCAUUUAACAGCUUGAAGCUAAUUAAAUUUAAGCUACUUAGAGAUGCCAGGUGACUGUGUUCCAAGGCCAUUGAUACAAUAUGAAACCUUCGCUUCCAAGUCCCAGCAACGAGAAUAUUGCUACAGGAUGAGGUGCCACCUAGCAACAGACCUUUAAUCACAAUUGCUGCUCCUCUCCGAGGAGGCGCAGUGAGUGCUGUCUUUUUGCUCUUAAAUCGGGGCUGAGGACUCUGCGGGUGCAUGGCUGCUCUGACCCUUCAAGCAAGCUGAAAGCGGUGUGGCCUCUUGUGACACAUGCAGCGCUCACAGCACUUUAUACAGUGAGAACCGGUUCAUUAUGAGAAGAAGCAUCACUGCGCAGACUUCUGUACAGCAGUACAGCUUUAGCCACAGCAGGGGCUUGGGCCAGUCUGACUUUUAAUUACAGAACAAGACAAAUCAGCCCUAAUGAAAUAGUUGUUCCUGACCUCUGGUGCUCAUGUUUGCUUAUAUGCAUCUUUCUGAGUUCGCAGGGAGGCUGUCACAGCUGUUACACGUGCACACACACACACACACCCCUUCACGCUGUGGCACCCUUUUAACUCCCAUGUUUCAUUCAGUUUAUCCCCACAAUUCACCUCCAACACAGGGAGGCACCUAUUGCUAUUUUAUAGAGGAGGGGAUGAAAGGGUGGAGCUCGAGGUUAAACUUACAAACUGGUUAAAAGUUUCCAUGUCUUAUAAAGAAAAAAUACUCUAAAGCUUUGAAAGUCAGUGGAUUUGCCCUGGAGUUUACACGGACCACAAGAAAGCUGGAAACCAAGCUGCGGUCACCUGUCCCAUGCUGCUGCCUUCCUCAUUAACUGAAAUCAGGAAAAAUUAAGAGAAAAGCUUCUUCCCUGUACAUUUGCAAACCCAGCUCUGCGAGGCUGCGUAAGCCUGAUGCAAUGUGUGGGGAAUCUCACAGGGCAUCAAAGGGCUGUUUGUGCACUCGAAGCUGAGCGAAGAGUCACGUGUUUGAGGGCACGUUAUCAUUCCUGGGCAGCGAUGAACAAAGACUUUGUUCCUUACGCACAAAUAACUCUGCCUGGAGUCAGUAAAUGACUCGCUAAAGGUAGACCCGGCAAAGAGCAAAGCUAAGAGGCUGGGAAUGCACAUAUAUUUCAAAAGUCGCAGCAUUGGCUGUGACACCAGGCCAGCCGUGGGAUGUAACCCCUGUGCUCCGCUGCAGACAAACCCCCUUCUGUCUGCAAUUGCAGGGAGAAGAGGGCAGCUGCAGCCAGCACUGGUGUCAGGGUGGUGGGGCUCGGGUUUAGGCUAGCAGCUCAUGUUUUGGAGCACGAGAUGACCCUUGCUAGCCCUAUCGCUCGGGAUUUUCUGUGCAGCUCAGUAUUUCUGUUACCCCAGCACAUUUAACAGGUUGUUUUCCCACUGUGUGUGGCCAAAGUGCCAACUUCUUUUCAGUGUCUCCCUAGCCAGCACCCACGCACAGCCCUAGCGCUGGGCUAUGCACCGACACUCUAGCUCCAGCCCUUUCUGAUUGUCCACAUUAAGACAAAAAAAGGUUUUGGGGGGGGACAAUUUCUUUGGGUGAUGUGGAUGGCAAAGGACGGAGGCAGGAAUGAUGCCAGUGUGAAUGCAGUGACUCAACGGCAGCUGAAGAUCUGGCCACUUGUGUCCGCAUGGGUGUUAUGUUUAUUUACCAUUUUGCUCAUGGUAGUUGAGCCAGGCACAACUGUCGGGUGUGCUUAGGGCAGAUGCAGAGGCUUGGCUGAGCCUGGAGCAAAACACAGCCAGGCUAACAAGUGGAUUUUCCCCAACGUCCGUGAAAACAGUGGGUUGGAGCUGCAGCCAUGUGGUAGUUGUGCCAAGAGAAGGAUUGUGCUGGCUGUGGUGAAAGAGGAAGGACUCAAGUUUCUCAGCGGUGCAAGAGCAGGGAGGUCACUGAAGGCAGAGGAAAAAGAAGCCAAAGUGCAAAAAAAGAGCGGAGAGGGAACCUGGAAUGAGGUAGCUGGCUUUUCCUGCAAUGCCGAGUUGCAUGUUAAGGCAAUGAUUGACGAGGAAGCCAGGUCAUCCUCCUGCAGACCAGCGUCAUGCUCACCCGACAGCGGCUGGAUGCUGCACUGUGGUUUGUCCCUAGUGCCAAAGCUCUUCCCCAGCUUCUCAGCGUGCUGGGAAGGUGCCAUUGCCGCAGCUCUGCUGCAACUUCCUUCCUCCUCGCAGCCGUGCAAGUUGAAAAGCAUCCUGCUCCUGCAAAGCCACCAUCAUGUUGUCGCUUCCCAGCUCAAGUCCAAGCUCAGUCACAGCCGGGACACAUGGCCCAUCUCCAUGGACAGUGCUGUGGUGGUUUCUCCUGCACCCACGGCACUGCCAGGCUGGGGAGGGGGGCUCAAGUCCGUGUUUCUCAUUCUCCUCGGUGAGCGGUGGCUACACCUCGGUGGAGUACUCCAUCAUGCUGGGGGAGAAAGGAGAGGGGCGUUGUGGAAGGGAACUGUCCGAAAUGGGAAGCAAUGGGGAGGUGUGGAAAAAUAUUCAGAGUGGGAGCAGGGCCUUUUGCCAGAAAUAAAUGGAGAAAGAAUGACA
This is a long non-coding RNA of Aquila chrysaetos chrysaetos, 3358 nucleotides long. RefSeq lists it as uncharacterized. The record is from RefSeq and is a predicted model, not a curated record. Lineage: Eukaryota; Metazoa; Chordata; Aves; Accipitriformes; Accipitridae. The transcript is spliced from 2 exons.